Plectropomus leopardus (leopard coralgrouper) is the source of this 396-nucleotide non-coding RNA. NCBI's taxonomy places the organism in Eukaryota, Metazoa, Chordata, Actinopteri, Perciformes, Serranidae. The record is from RefSeq and is a predicted model, not a curated record.
GGAGCCUCAUUUGGAAAGUUGAGCAUGUAAAGGACUGAGCAACAAGACUGGUGGAAAAACCUCGAAAGACUUCCAAGAAGUUUCGAGCUGCAGGAAUUCCUGAUGGUGCUGAGUGUGUAAGAACCACCUAACUUUGAGAAGAAGUGGAUUCAAGCUUCACGGUCAAGCUUCACGAGCAACCUGAGAAGGAGGAACCCUCUUAACCAUGUGUAGAUGUGCCAUAUCGUGUACCAGGUUACGAAGCUGCUGGUCCAGAAUCUGAAUAUCUGUAGGAACUAAACCUCGACUGACGCGACUCCAUGGCUCAUUAUGACCUGAUGGAUGACAAGGACUCUGUGGAUAUUCAUGACAACCCCCCUCUCCCUGACAAUGUGGUGAAAGAGGAGGACAACACGG